RNAcentral lists this long non-coding RNA (503 nucleotides) under Fukomys damarensis (Damara mole-rat). Its description in RNAcentral is "lncRNA (ENSFDAG00000029717.1)". Lineage: Eukaryota; Metazoa; Chordata; Mammalia; Rodentia; Bathyergidae. The record is from RNAcentral.
UUUUUUUUUUUUUUUUUUUUUUUUUUUUUUUUUUGCAGCUCUUUCAUGCCCUGAGUCUUUUACUACAAUAAAAAUCUUUGUAAAUUUCUUUCCCUUAUCGCAGGCUGCCAUUUAUAACCUUUCCACUACACUCUAUUGUCUUUUUAGUCUCUCUUCCCCUUUUCAGUUCUAAGCCUACACAUAAUUCUGUCUUUCUGGUGCUACUGCUAUUUCUCUAUUCUUAACCACACCUAAUUUAUACUGACAGCAUUCGUAUGAAAAGUUACACACGCCACACAUCUCUGCCAUCCUUCAGUUUAUGCCUGACUCUAUCCUGGAGAAAGGAUUUAUUUAUUUUCCCAUGGGCAGCCCUAUUUUUUGGAAGAUAACCUCGUACUUGACAGAACACUUCAAGGAGCUCACGAUCCCAAGAGACAAGCCAACAAAUAAAUACACAGUGGCAGAGGGGGUGACUGGAAGAACUUGGGACUGAAGCCAAAGGAGGGUGAACGAGAGGGGCCAGG